GCGGAUGUGGCGGAAUUGGUAGACGCGCUAGACUUAGGAUCUAGUGCCGCAAGGCGUGGGGGUUCAAGUCCCUUCAUCCGCACCA
This 85-nucleotide transfer RNA is filed under the name Rickettsiales bacterium. RNAcentral's name for it is "tRNA-Leu". It matches the Rfam family "tRNA". Rfam says of the family: Transfer RNA (tRNA) molecules are approximately 80 nucleotides in length. Their secondary structure includes four short double-helical elements and three loops (D, anti-codon, and T loops). The record is from RNAcentral. Lineage: Bacteria; Pseudomonadati; Pseudomonadota; Alphaproteobacteria; Rickettsiales.